CGGCUCAUCGCAUCCUGGGGCUGAAGCAGGUCCCAAGGGUUGGGCUGUUCGCCCAUUAAAGCGGUACGCGAGCUGGGUUUAGAACGUCGUGAGUCAGUUCGGUCCCUAUCCUCUGCAGCCGGAAGGAACUUGAGAAAAUCUGUCCCUAGUACGAGAGGACCGGGAUGGACGCAGCUCUCGUGUGCCAGUUGUCCUGCCAAGGGCACUGCUGGUUAGCGACCUGCGGAAGGGAUAAGCGCUGAAAGCAUCUAAGUGCGAAGCCCAUUUCUAGAUGAGGUUCCUCACUGGGUUAACCAGGUAAGGCCCGUGAUAGACCAACACGUUGAUAGGCCGGAGGUGUAAGCGUGGUAACACGUUCAGCCGACCGGUACUAAUCGGCCGAGGGCUUGGAUUGA
Molecule: ribosomal RNA, 395 nt
Filed under: Acidimicrobiales bacterium
Lineage: Bacteria; Bacillati; Actinomycetota; Acidimicrobiia; Acidimicrobiales
Description: partial 23S ribosomal RNA
Rfam family: Bacterial large subunit ribosomal RNA
Source: RNAcentral